AACGAACGCUGGCGGCAGGCUUAACACAUGCAAGUCGAGCGCCCCGCAAGGGGAGCGGCAGACGGGUGAGUAACGCGUGGGAAUGUACUUUUUGGUUCGGAACAACUCCGGGAAACUGGAGCUAAUACCGGAUAAGCCCUAACGGGGAAAGAUUUAUCGCCGAAAGAUCGGCCCGCGUCUGAUUAGCUAGUUGGUGAGGUAACGGCUCACCAAGGCGACGAUCAGUAGCUGGUCUGAGAGGAUGAUCAGCCACACUGGGACUGAGACACGGCCCAGACUCCUACGGGAGGCAGCAGUGGGGAAUAUUGGACAAUGGGCGCAAGCCUGAUCCAGCCAUGCCGCGUGAGUGAUGAAGGCCUUAGGGUUGUAAAGCUCUUUUGUCCGGGAAGAUAAUGACUGUACCGGAAGAAUAAGCCCCGGCUAACUUCGUG
Molecule: ribosomal RNA, 431 nt
Filed under: uncultured bacterium
Lineage: Bacteria
Description: partial 16S ribosomal RNA
Rfam family: Bacterial small subunit ribosomal RNA
Source: RNAcentral